Molecule: ribosomal RNA, 406 nt
Filed under: uncultured bacterium
Lineage: Bacteria
Description: partial 16S ribosomal RNA
Rfam family: Bacterial small subunit ribosomal RNA
Source: RNAcentral
GAUGAACGCUAGCUACAGGCUUAACACAUGCAAGUCGAGGGACCGGCGCACGGGUGAGUAACACGUAUCCACCCUGCCCUUUACUCGGGGAUAGCCUUUCGAAAGAAAGAUUAAUACCCGAUCUAAAAGAUUGGGAUGCGUUCCAUUAGGUUGUUGGUAAGUUAACGGCUCACCAAGCCUUCGAUGGCUAGGGGUUCUGAGAGGAAGGUCCCCCACAUUGGAACUUAGACACGGUCCAAACUCCUACGGGAGGCAUAAGUGAGGAAUAUUGGUCAAUGCGCGCUAGCCUGAACCAUCCAAGUAGCGUGAAGGAUGAAGGUUUAUGGGUCGGAAACUUCUUUUAUAUAAGAAUAUGUAUUAGAUGAAUAAGGAUCGGCUAACUCCGUGCCAGCAGCCGCGGUAAUUC